Molecule: ribosomal RNA, 882 nt
Filed under: Bacteroidales bacterium
Lineage: Bacteria; Pseudomonadati; Bacteroidota; Bacteroidia; Bacteroidales
Description: bacterial SSU rRNA
Rfam family: Bacterial small subunit ribosomal RNA
Source: RNAcentral
GGAGCUCUCCCAUAUGGUCGACCUGCAGGCGGCCGCGAAUUCACUAGUGAUUGUUUGAUCCUGGCUCAGGAUGAACGCUAGCGACAGGCCUAACACAUGCAAGUCGAGGGGUAUAAGUAGCUUGCUACUUAGAGACCGGCGCACGGGUGAGUAACGCGUAUGCAACCUACCUUUUACUGGGGGAUAGCCCAAAGAAAUUUGGAUUAAUACCGCAUAACAUAUUUGAAUCGCAUGGUUUAAAUAUUAAAACUUCGGUGGUAAAAGAUGGGCAUGCGUAGCAUUAGUUAGUUGGUGAGGUAACGGCUCACCAAGACUAUGAUGCUUAGGGGGUCUGAGAGGAUAGUCCCCCACACUGGUACUGAGACACGGACCAGACUCCUACGGGAGGCAGCAGUGAGGAAUAUUGGUCAAUGGGCGCAAGCCUGAACCAGCCAUGUCGCGUGCAGGAUGACGGCCCUAUGGGUUGUAAACUGCUUUUUUACAGGAAUAAACUUUGUUACGUGUAGCAAACUGAAGGUACUGUAAGAAUAAGGAUCGGCUAACUCCGUGCCAGCAGCCGCGGUAAUACGGAGGAUCCAAGCGUUAUCCGGAUUUAUUGGGUUUAAAGGGUCCGUAGGCGGGCUUUUAAGUCAGUGGUGAAAUCCCAGAGCUCAACUCUGGAACUGCCAUUGAUACUGAAGGUCUUGAAUUUAGUUGAGGUGGGCGGAAUACGUUAUGUAGCGGUGAAAUGCAUAGAUAUAACGUAGAACACCGAUUGCGAAGGCAGCUCACUAAGCUAACAUUGACGCUGAUGGACGAAAGCGUGGGGGAGCGAACAGGAUUAGAUACCCUGGUAGUCCACGCCGUAAACGAUGAUUACUUCGUUGUGCACGAUACACUGUG